GGGAGGUGGCUUACCUGAGUGGUUAAAGAAUCUGCUUUGCAUGCACAAGGUCCCGGGUUCAAUCCCCAAUCUCCCA
Molecule: non-coding RNA, 76 nt
Organism: Podarcis lilfordi (Lilford's wall lizard)
Lineage: Eukaryota; Metazoa; Chordata; Lepidosauria; Squamata; Lacertidae
Source: the annotation of a GenBank genome assembly